This 205-nucleotide long non-coding RNA is filed under the name Lathyrus oleraceus (garden pea). Its description in RNAcentral is "Pisum sativum (pea) long non-coding RNA (PSAT_LNC017278)". Lineage: Eukaryota; Viridiplantae; Streptophyta; Magnoliopsida; Fabales; Fabaceae. The record is from RNAcentral.
CCAAUCUCUCUUGGAGUCUUUCCUCAGAGUCUCUGAUGUAGCCAUUUCUGACUUGUUCAGAGAUACUCUUCAGCCUAUAAGACUCAGAGGUCAUCCAACUAAUAACUCUGUUCCAGUGUGUCCUAACAGAUUUAGGAUCAUCACUGACUUCAGAAUUUUUAGCCAGAGACUUGAUCUUCUGGACUGAGGAUUCUGCAACCUGUAU